RNAcentral lists this long non-coding RNA (1853 nucleotides) under Anas zonorhyncha (Eastern spot-billed duck). RNAcentral's name for it is "lncRNA (ENSAZOG00000010591.1)". The record is from RNAcentral. Lineage: Eukaryota; Metazoa; Chordata; Aves; Anseriformes; Anatidae.
GUGACCCGUGCCACCGAACGCAUCUGCGGCCGGUUGGGGCCGCUGAAGUCCCGGUGCGAGCGGCUGCUGCAGCGCUGGGUGACCCCCAUCGUGGACGCGCUGGCGCACCACGAAGCCCCCAACCGCAUCUGCACCCGCCUGAAGCUGUGCCCCAAGGGGGUCUGAGCCAGGCACCGGCUGGCUCCGAGGACCCCCGAUGGCACCCGUCCAAAACCGGUGUCCCCCUCGUGUCCCCCUCGUGUCCCCCACGCUGUGACCACCCCGUCCUUCCCAGCACAAUAAAGCUUUGUCACCACAGGAGUGGCACCUGCCUGUCCCCUGCGGGGGUGGGAUGGGGACACGGGGACCCCAACGGGGACUUCAGUGGGGACAGGGGGACCCCGAUGGGGACAUGGCUAUGGGGGGGUUUGGGGGGACACCUCCAGGGCCCUGUCCCUUGCUGGGAGCGGGGCUGGGGACAGGGACAACGUGUCCCUGCGGCGCUGGCACUGUCCCAGCGGCCACCUCCCGUCCCCACGGGGCUAUAAGAGCCCGCGGGGCACGGCCCCGUCACCGCCACCAUGGCGCUGCCACCGUCCCCGUCCCCGUCCCCGUCCCUGGCACGGACGCUGCUCCUCGCCCUGCUCUGUGCCACCACAGGUAGGGACCGUGAGCCCCCCCCCCGGGCUGGGCACCCCCCAACCCCAAAUCUGGGUGCCCCCAUAACCCCAAAUCUGGGUGUGUCCCCCCCUUGGGGACACGGCGGUGGAUUGGGGGGGUCCUUCCCCAUUAUGGGAUUUGGGGGUGGGGGGGGUCCUGGCCACCUGGGUGUCCCCCCACACCCAAAGAGCUGUAGGGGGGGGAAUUUGGGGGGGUUAUGGGGGGGUCCCAGCGCUGGUGCUGACGGUGGCCGCAGGGCUGGGGGGGCCGGCGGAGCGCUGCGGGGUCCCCCCCGACGCCUGGUGCCAGAACUGGGGGACGGCGCUGCGCUGCGGGGCCCUGGAGCUCUGCGCCCGCCGCGGCUGGGCCCCCAGUGCCAAGGUGAGCGCCGAGACACGGCCCCACAGCCCAACGGCCCCACAGCCCAACGGCCCCACAGCCCCACUGCCCCACAGCCCCNNNNNNNNNNCCUGUGCCCCCCGUGUCCCCGCGCCCCACGCCCCAUACCCUAUGUCCCAUGGCCCGCGCCGUGUCCCUCUGUCCCCACAUUCCCACGCCCCGUGCCCCUUGUCCCCGUGCCCCAUAUCCACGUUCCCACGCCACAUGUUUGUGUGUCCCCUACUCCCCCUCCCCAUAUAAUGAUACCCCAUGUCCCCACACCCCAUUGCCAUGUCCCCAAGCCCAUUUCUCCAUGUCCCCAAGGUCACUUCCCCAUGUCCCCAUGCUCCACGCCUUAUGUCCACAUGUCCCCAAGUCCAUUUUCCCAUGACCCUACACUCCGUACUAUAUGUCCCCAUAUCCCCAAGUCCUUUUUCCCGUGUCCCCACGUAAUAUGCCCCCAACUCUGCUUCCCCAUGCCCCCAUCCUCCACGUCCUAUGUCCCCAUGUCCCCAAGUCCAUUCCCAUGUCCUGUACCCCAUGCUAUAUGUCCCCAACCAUGUCCCCAACUCCGUUUCCCCGUGCCCCCAUACUCCACACCACAUGUCCCCAUGUCCCCAAACCCCUUUCCCCGUGCCCUGUACCCCCUGUCCCCGUGCCCCCCGUCCCCACACGUCCCGGUGCGGGUGCCCCCCCCUCGCAGGAGGACAUGUGCGCCGACUGCCAGGAGGUCGUCACCCUGCUCAUCCGCAUGGCCAACGAGUCGGCCACCAAGGUGGCCGUGGAGGGAUUUCUGCGCCGGGAGUGCUCGGCGCUGCCGGUGCCCACCAUGGUGA